This 249-nucleotide ribosomal RNA is filed under the name uncultured prokaryote. RNAcentral's name for it is "partial 16S ribosomal RNA". It matches the Rfam family "Bacterial small subunit ribosomal RNA", at positions 524 to 772 of the family's 1533-position model. The record is from RNAcentral.
UACGGAGGAUGCAAGCGUUAUCCGGAUUUAUUGGGUUUAAAGGGUGCGCAGGUUGUUUGAUAAGUCAGUGGUGAAAGUCUGUCGCUUAACGGUAGGAUUGCCAUUGAUACUGUUGGACUUGAAUAUGGAUGAGGUAGGCGGAAUGUGUAGUAUAGCGGUGAAAUGCAUAGAUAUUGCACAGAACACCGAUUGCGAAGGCAGCUUACUAAUCCAUCAUUGACGCUGAGGCACGAAAGCGUGGGGAUCAAA